AUACGGAGGAUCCGAGCGUUAUCCGGAUUUAUUGGGCUUAAAGGGAGCGUAGGUGGUUAAUUAAGUCAGCGGUGAAAGUUUGUGGCUCAACCAUAAAAUUGCCGUUGAAACUGGUUGACUUGAGUAUAUUUGAGGAAGGCGGAAUGCGUGGUGUAGCGGUGAAAUGCAUAGAUAUCACGCAGAACUCCGAUUGCGAAGGCAGCUUACUAAACUAUAACUGACACUGAAGCACGAAAGCGUGGGGAUCAAACAGGAUUAGAUACCCUGGUAGUCCACGCAGUAAACGAUGAUUACUAGCUGUUUGCGAUACACAGUAAGCGGCACAGCGAAAGCGUUAAGUAAUCCACCUGGGGAGUACGCCGGCAACGGUGAAACUCAAAGGAAUUGACGGGG
This 393-nucleotide ribosomal RNA is filed under the name uncultured bacterium. RNAcentral's name for it is "partial 16S ribosomal RNA". It matches the Rfam family "Bacterial small subunit ribosomal RNA", at positions 523 to 918 of the family's 1533-position model. The record is from RNAcentral.